UGUCGACGACGAUCAUGGGUGAUCGUAGACGUGCAAAUUCGCCGAUGGAGAAAUUGGCGAAAUAUUUGCGUUUGAAAGGAUCCAGGGAUGGUCUUUAUUUCAUCGAAGACGACAAAAAAAUCUUGGAGUUCAUUAUGAAUCCGGACUGGGAGGGAAGCCUCCGCGGACACCGAGUCUGGGAACGUUUAAAAGAGGAACAUUUCUUGCUGCUACCCAGGAUCCAUUGGAAUGAUCUGAAGCUUCGUGCUCAAAAGCUCCUUCGACCUAAGAGAGAGCUCAGGGCGUGGAUCGCCUUGACCGGUUUAAAGAGAUCCAGGUGGGUCGAUGAGACUCGUCCUGAGUGGCCCGCGUUUAAUAUUUCGAUGCGGUACCUGCGGCAUUACUUGUUAAAUAAAGGCGAGAAGGGAAGGCUAAACACUCCGUUUGAUAUCGAGGAGGACACCGAGGUAAGCAUAGUUUUUUACAUUUUAACUUAAGAAUAAAAUAUUUAUUAUUUUAAAUAAUAGAUAUGUCGAGACAGUUUUACUUUGUAUUGUAGCAUGGAUUUUUAAAAUCUAGUCUAAGCAAUUUUUAAGUAUAAAACAUUACUGUCUACUUUAGGGUCAUGAUUUUCAAGAUGAUAUGGUUAGGCUAUCUCAAUUCUCCGAAAAUCAUUCCUUAGGAUCGAUGGUUACAGUCCAAAUCAAGGAGGAACCAGGUUUCGGAACAGAAGGUUCCGACGAAGAGUAGGAGUCAAGAUUAUACUUGAGGUCGUCUAUGUGUGAUCAAGACAGUGAGAGUGUAGAUGUGUUUUAGUCAUUCAAUGGAAUACUGUAAAUAGGUUCGUUUUUAGACUUUUUUUAGAUUUUUUUUAACCCAACUGGUGAAAAUGUUCCUGCCAUAAUCUUUUGUUGUGAUUAUAAUUAUAAUAUAAUUUAUUCAAUCCUUGUAAUACUUUAAUACUAGUAUAUAAAAGAUAAGUUUAAUUGGUAGUUUAAGAGAUUUUAAAAUUAAUAUUAGUUUAGAAGAUAUUUUAAGUUAUGUCUCACAUUUUUUAGUCAAUUCGUUAUAAUGAGAGCUACUCUUUCCGGAAAAAGUUUGAUGUACUACCAAUAAAAAAUUUUGAAAAAAUUUAACAACAUUCAAAAAAACCUUUUUUUAAUACCAUCCCGAUCUUAGAUUGAUUUUCGUAAUGAGUUUGCGGGAUCAAAAUAAAAAUCCGUA
Molecule: unclassified non-coding RNA, 1203 nt
Filed under: Trichogramma pretiosum
Lineage: Eukaryota; Metazoa; Arthropoda; Insecta; Hymenoptera; Trichogrammatidae
Description: uncharacterized LOC106659631, transcript variant X1
Source: RNAcentral